Molecule: long non-coding RNA, 556 nt
Organism: Cydia amplana
Lineage: Eukaryota; Metazoa; Arthropoda; Insecta; Lepidoptera; Tortricidae
Exons: 2
Source: RefSeq, a predicted model, not a curated record
AAAUUUUUUUUUCAUCAAACCCAUACGUGUGGGGUAUCUAUGGAUAGGUCUUCAAAAAUGAUAUUGAGGUUUCUAAUAUCAUUUUUUUCUAAACUGAAUAGUUUGCGCGAGAGACACUUCCAAAGUGGUAAAAUGUGUGUCCCCCCCCCCCGUAACUUCUAAAAUAAUAGAAUGAUAAAACUAAAAAAAAUAUAUGAUAUACAUUACCAUGUAAACUUCCACCGAAAAUUGGUUUGAACGAGAUCUAGUAAGUAGUUUUUUUUUAAUACAACUGAAACUCAAAACAUUUUUUUCAUCAAACCCAUACGUGUGGGGUAUCUAUGGAUAGCUCUUCAAAAAUGAUAUUGAGGUUUCUAAUAUCAUUUUUUUCUAAACUGAAUAGUUUGCGCGAGAGACACUUCCAAAGUGGUAAAAUGUGUGUCCCCCCCUGUAACUUCUAAAAUAAGAGAAUGAUAAACCUAAAAAUAAUAUAUGAUCUACAUUACCAUGCAAACUUCCUCCGAAAAUUGGUUUGAACGAGAUCUAGUAAGUAGUUUUUUUUUUAAUACGUCAUAAA